GAUGAAGAACGCAGCGAAAUGCGAUAAGUAGUGUGAAUUGCAGAAUUCAGUGAAUCAUCGAAUCUUUGAACGCACAUUGCGCCCCUUGGUAUUCCAUGGGGCAUGCCUGUUCGAGCGUCAUUUGUACCUUCAAGCUUUGCUUGGUGUUGGGUGUUUGUCCUGAGGGACUCGCCUUAAAGUAAUUGGCAGCCAGUGUUUGGUUUUGAAGCGCAGCACAAGUCGCGAUUCAAAGCUAUACGCCCGCUUCCACAAGCCUUUUUCACUUUUGACCUCGGAUCAGGGAGGGAUACCCGCUGAACUUAAGCAUAUCAAUAAGCGGAGGA
RNAcentral lists this unclassified non-coding RNA (323 nucleotides) under soil metagenome. Its description in RNAcentral is "partial contains 5.8S ribosomal RNA, internal transcribed spacer 2, and large subunit ribosomal RNA". The stretch from base 1 to 120 matches the Rfam family "5.8S ribosomal RNA", at positions 35 to 154 of the family's 154-position model. The record is from RNAcentral.